AGGAUUCCCCUAGUAACGGCGAGUGAAGCGGGAAGAGCACAAAUUUAAAAUCUACCUGGUUUUCAGGUCGAGUUGUAAUUUGAAGAUACGUUUUUGACGUUCCGGGUUGGACUAAAUCCUUUGGGAUAAGGUAUCAUGGAGGGUGAGAAUCCCGUAUAUACCAACCAUAGGGAUGUUAUUUAAUACNUUUCUAAGAGUCGAGUUGUUUGGGAAUGCAGCUCUAAAUGGGUGGUAAAUUUCACCUAAUGCUAAAUAUAAGCGAGAGACCGAUAGCGAACAAGUACAGUGAUGGAAAGAUGAAAAGAACUUUGAAAAGAGAGUUAAAUAGUACGUGAAAUUGUUGAAAGGGAAACGAUUGAAGUCAGUCAUGCCNGUGGGAAUCAACUUAGRGGAAACUCURAGUGCACUUCUUCGCUUGGCAGGUCAACGUCGAUUUUGGAUGUCAUAAAAUGAUUGGGGGAAGGUAGCUCCUUCGGGAGUGUUAUAGCCCUUGGUAGAUGUGAUGUCUGGGAUCGAGGAUUGCAAUGGAUACCCUUUGGRGCUAGCCGCCUGAUCUCUAAUUGGUAUUGGGUUACGGAUAGCAUGCUGACCGUGAUCUAAUUAUUGGUUAAAAGGUUAGAGCGUGCAUAAAUUCAUUAAGGACGUUGACCUAAUGGCUUUAAACNACCCG
This 670-nucleotide ribosomal RNA is filed under the name Gigaspora rosea. RNAcentral's name for it is "eukaryotic LSU rRNA". It matches the Rfam family "Eukaryotic large subunit ribosomal RNA", at positions 71 to 651 of the family's 3401-position model. Lineage: Eukaryota; Fungi; Glomeromycota; Glomeromycetes; Diversisporales; Gigasporaceae. The record is from RNAcentral.